UACGGAGGGUGCAAGCGUUGUUCGGAAUUACUGGGCGUAAAGCGCGCGUAGGCGGCUUCUUAAGUCAGAUGUGAAAGUCCACGGCUCAACCGUGGAAGUGCAUUUGAAACUGGGGGGCUUGAGUACUGGAGGGGAUGGUGGAAUUCCCGGUGUAGAGGUGAAAUUCGUAGAUAUCGGGAGGAAUACCGGUGGCGAAGGCGACCAUCUGGCCAGAUACUGACGCUGAUGUGCGAAAGCGUGGGGAGCAAACAGG
This 253-nucleotide ribosomal RNA is filed under the name uncultured bacterium. RNAcentral's name for it is "partial 16S ribosomal RNA". It matches the Rfam family "Bacterial small subunit ribosomal RNA", at positions 524 to 776 of the family's 1533-position model. The record is from RNAcentral.